Molecule: non-coding RNA, 48 nt
Organism: Schistosoma mattheei
Lineage: Eukaryota; Metazoa; Platyhelminthes; Trematoda; Strigeidida; Schistosomatidae
Source: Rfam
AUCCAAAUGACGAGUCCUGAAUAGGACGAAACGCGCAUCAAACUAGAU